Pangasianodon hypophthalmus (striped catfish) is the source of this 541-nucleotide long non-coding RNA. RefSeq lists it as uncharacterized. NCBI's taxonomy places the organism in Eukaryota, Metazoa, Chordata, Actinopteri, Siluriformes, Pangasiidae. The transcript has 3 exons. The record is from RefSeq and is a predicted model, not a curated record.
GCACAAUCAAACAUUUUAGUUUCAAAAUAUGAAGUAUUUUAUUGCUCUUGUUUACACAGAGUAACAUCUCCAACUGCCAUUUUGAUCUAGCCUUCAUCAUUUUCUGCUUCUUGCGCUUAGCAGCACCAGCAGGAAGCCGCUUGGGGUAAGCAGGCUCCAGCACCACGUAGCCGCUAGAUCUGAACUCCAUCUGUUUCCAGUCCAGGAUGCUGCCUCGAGAUGGGACCGAGUGGUGAUACAGGUACCUGUGGAGCUCUCGGACACUGAGGACCGAAUCCCACAGGAGCUCUGGAGGAACCGAGUGCACUUCUCCAUCCUACCUGCAGAGGGCGCUGCACUUCUCCCUCUACACACAUUCACUUCCACCCCUCAGGAGUUUCUCCUGUGAGUCUGAGCACCACAGUUGUCCAGUUUCAGGAUGUGGCGGCAGUUUCACGUCCUGUUCUGAGCUUUAAUUCCCUCACAGCUCUCACACACACUCAGCACUUUUGCAGUGUUUAUUAGUUUCAUGGAGCACAAAACUCCAGAUCACGGCUCAGUU